This 715-nucleotide ribosomal RNA is filed under the name bacterium enrichment culture clone IsoM-51. RNAcentral describes it as "bacterial SSU rRNA". It matches the Rfam family "Bacterial small subunit ribosomal RNA", at positions 8 to 699 of the family's 1533-position model. The record is from RNAcentral.
AGAGUUUGAUCCUGGCUCAGAACUAACGCUGGCGGCGUGCCUAACACAUGCAAGUCGUACGAGAAAGUUGGCUUCGGCCGAUGAGUAAAGUGGCGCACGGGUGAGUAACGCGUGGAUAAUCUACCUUUUAGUUUGGAAUAACGUACCGAAAGGUGCGCUAAUACCGGAUAAUGCUGCACAACUACUGUUGUGUCGUCAAAGAAGGCUUCUGUUUACAUGCUUUUGCUGAAAGAUGAGUCCGCGUACCAUUAGCUAGUUGGUAGGGUAAUGGCCUACCAAGGCUACGAUGGUUAGCUGGUCUGAGAGGAUGAUCAGCCACACUGGAACUGAGACACGGUCCAGACUCCUACGGGAGGCAGCAGUGAGGAAUAUUGCGCAAUGGGGGCAACCCUGACGCAGCAACGCCGCGUGAGUGAGGAAGGUUUUCGGACCGUAAAGCUCUGUCGAGCGGGAAGAAAUGCAUGGUGGCUAAUAUCCAUCAUGCUUGACGGUACCGCUAAAGGAAGCACCGGCUAACUCCGUGCCAGCAGCCGCGGUAAUACGGGGGGUGCAAGCGUUGUUCGGAAUUAUUGGGCGUAAAGAGCGUGUAGGCGGCUGAAUAAGUCAGAUGUGAAAUCCCUGGGCUUAACCCAGGACGUGCAUUUGAAACUAUUCAGCUUGAGUAGGGGAGAGGAAAGUGGAAUUCCUGGUGUAGAGGUGAAAUUCGUAGAUAUCA